AAGGGAGGGAGAGGAAGACUGAAGAAGUAUCAAAGGUAAAGAGGGAAAGAGUUUUUCCACGUUGCUCCAGAGAAGCUGGAUUUAAUUUUGCUCUUAACAUUUGGGAGGAAAAACAAUCAAAUUUUGAAGAACCAAAAAGUGUGCAUGGAAAGAGCUAUAGAACUUUUUUGAUGUAAAAAUCUUUUUGGUCGGUAUACACACGCAAUUUAACAGUCUAACAAAAUCAUAGGACUGAAUGUAAAAUGCUGACGGUCUCUCUACAUGUCAUUUUCUGUGUGCCUGUAAUAUUGAGUGUAGCAUUCAAAGUGUUUUCUCUCUGUUUCUAUCAAAAGAGAAAAUACUUUGCAGUUUCAAUAUCGUAUCUCAGAUUACAUAAAUUUUGAAAAUUUUGGGAACUAAAUUAUGGUGAUAUCCUUCUGAUUGUUUGGGGCUUCCUUUUUUUUUUUUUUUUUUUAACUUUUUUGAACGUUGUUUACUUAUUUUCUGAAAAUGGUAAUAGGAAAUAGCACCAUGGCGAGAAAUUCGUUUCAAUCGUUUAAUUAAAUGAGUGCAAUUCAUCAUGAACUCUACACCUUUCUGAAGUUAUAUGACAAAUAUAUUCUGGGAAGUGAUUAUUCAGAAACUGGGGGGCCAUGAGAUCAAAUCUGAAAGCUAGUUAUUACUCUUAAAAUAGCUCAAAGUCAUAGCCAUCUCGUGACUGUAAUGGACAUUAACAGAUGGUCUCAGCAGAGCCAUGAACCAGCCUCCCAAUCACACCUAGCACUGGUUUAUCUCCUAUGGUUGCUCUUAAAAAAAAAGGCCAAAACAGGUACAUCUGCUUAUGUGCUCCUUUUCAACCCAGCAUGGGCACCGUCUCCUCAGCAACAAGGGGUAGUUCAGAUACUGGUCAAGAUACAAAAGCUGCAAGGCACAGCACAUCUAUCUUAUCCCUCUAUUCUCCAAAAGUGUUUGUUUCCACUCCUGAAACCUCCUUUCUGGUUAUCUUCAGAGUUCAUUACUCUCUGAAGUCCCUCAAGAUGUUCCUGCUGCUGAGAAGCAGACAAGCUAAAACAUCCUUGUAUCUCUUUCAUCUGAUGGAAGAAAGAGGGAGAAGAUCCCAUUUCCAGCAGUGCCUUUUUACUAGUCCUUACUGACCCACUUUGUGUCUGAGUGUCCAGGUUUUUUCAUGACGCUAUCCCCUCCUCUUCCUUCAUCAGCCUAAUGAAGGCUUCCAAAGACUCUGAGGAGGGAACGCUCUCCUCUCCCUGCCUUGGAGGUGAAGAACAAAAAUUGCUUCUGCCUCAGCCUCCACCCUCUCUGCUCAUCCCAUAAGCAAGAAGCAGACCGUGAGGCAGACCAUGCUUAGGAUACAGCAACUGCAGGGUCCAAACAGAUCCCAACAUUUAUAGACUAAGACUAUAAUGCUUCCUUGAGAUUUGACUGAUACAUUCCACAGAGCAGUCAAGGUAUUAGAGCAGGCAUAAGUCAUGGUUAUGGCUGUAGAAAGUCAACUAUUGUGCUAAUAAAUGAAAUAUGGAGGUAGAAUCUAGUAGUGCUGUUGAAAUGCUUUUUGUGCUCCAUCCAUGGAUGUCAGAUUAAAUUAAAUGCCUUUCACACUAACUCCAUCCCUUUCUCUUCAUUUUCAUGUUUUAUUCUUUAGUCAUGCAUAUCAGAUCCAUGUCAAGUGGAUAUUUACAGUCAAUAAAUUACAAUUUAAUUUUUUUUUCUUCCCAAAAUGAUGACAUACUAGUUGGUCUAUCUUAAGUAUACAGCUGCACAACACAGCUUCACAAUUUUAUGCAUAGCUGAACUUUGCUGCUCAGCACUGGCUAUCAAACUCUUUGUGUUAUUCUGUUACCUCCAACACAAAUAUAAAUUACAUAUCUAAUAAAAUAGAAGCUGUUUAUUUACACCUGAACUAUAAUGAAAACACAUAGAUGUUAGUUUGAAAAAUGGACGAAUAUGACAUGUACUUACAUUUUUCUACAUAUGAAUAUGGUCUUUCUUAGUAAACGUUAUGAAAAUCUGAUUAUAAAAAUACAACUACAUUAAUAAUAGAUUCAUAUAACCUUUAUGUAGAAGAUUUUAAUGCUUAUGGGAAUAUUUAUACAUGUAUCAAAGAUCAUUGGGUUUAAGUGACUUCACUCUAAUUAUACAUUCACCUUCAAUACAACGUUGUUUCUCUAGUUUUGUACUGCUGCGUAUUUAUGCAAUAUAUAUUUUCAUAUCAUUUAGGACAGGUUUUUCUCUUCCACUUUUCAACUACUUCUCUUAUUGCUGGACCACUCAGGUUUUUCAUAUUUUCUCUACACCAGGCACCAACUGACCCCACGGAGGCCAGCCAUAUGCCAUCCACAUGAAAGGAAAACGGAAAUCACACUUAGUGACUCCUCCACGGGUUCUUCUUUCAAGCAGGAUUUGAAAAGCUCUGCUUUUGGCAGCAAGAGCACCAACAGAACCUGAACAGUUGCCAAGGACAGUCUGCAGCAGCUGAUGUCCCUAGUAUGGCCUGUGCACAUCCCUCUUCUCUUCCUGUCUUCAUCUCCAAUAUCAAAACCCGUAUGAAGCCGCUCUGUGAAUCAUUACUCUUGCAUCACACUAGGGAUGCACAUGUGCUCACCAGUCCUUGAGGCUGCUGGAGAUAAUAAAUUCCUUUCCUUACAUGCUUUGUGACUUUACUGGCUGAGAAACUCAAGAGGAGGAGCUGGCUCUUAGGCUACAGCAUCUGCCUGUGGAAAUUCAGCAUACACUGCAGAACUGCAUAGACCAUAGGAUGUUCAAGUAAUUAUCUUCUCAAGGAUCUCAUGUAGAUUAGCAUAGCAUAAGCAGUUAUGUCUAGUUACAGCUACCUUAUGGUUCCAGGAUGAUGAAAUGACAGAGGAAAUUCAGUGUAGACAACAUAAGAGACGUGAAUGAGAAUAAAUAUUCACAACUUCACAUACUAAAAGGAUGAACUUUGAAACAACUACUUCCAAGUCACAACAUUUGGUUAUUGCUAUCAUACAAGACAGCUUUAUGAAAAGUAAGAUUUCCUCACCUUUAGAGGAUCACUUCCACAGGGAGGAAGAUUUAAUUGUCACUACAUGUAGUCCUAAGUACCAUCUCAUAGAAGUUAUUAUUAUAAUAGGUUCAGGCAUUUACAGUAUGACAAUCAUAUUUUGGUAGUUUUGUAUUUAUUUAAAUUGAUACCGUGAUAUAAAAUUAAUACAAAGUGUUGGACUAUUUCCUGCACUUCACCAAUCCCUCGUCAAGUUGGUUGUAAAAACUACACAAAAGCCCUGAGGGUACCAUAAUGAUGUUUCAUAAUAAGGUAAUUAUAUGUGCAUAACCUUAAACAGGAGAAAUCUUUGGGGAUAUCUUCUUUUUAUGGAUGAUUGUAUUAUCACAAUUUAAAUAAUUAAAUGUCUGCAAUUGCUCCUAUUUUUAACUGCUAACUGGUUGCCAUGAUUUGUUAGUACAUAUUUUUGCAUGUUUAUACAUAUGCGUUAUACAUACUUUGGAUAAAUCCUAUUAGAUCAAUACAAUCCAAAUAAACUUUCAGUUCCUGCAGCCAUAUAACGGGUCAGGAUGUCCUCAUGCGUUCCUGCUGACCUGAGUUACCCAAGUGUGACCACUGCCUGAGGGUGAUCUGUGGCCAGCUGCAACUGCCAGAGCCUUUUCUGCUGUACCGGUAUUCCGGUAGUAUUUCAAAUAUGUUCUUUGCAGAAGGAAAAAGACCUAGCUAACAUGUUUAAUUUCCACUCUUCCCUGUGAGGAAGUGAAGAACCACGGACCUAUCCCACUGCUGUAAUUGGAGUCUGAAACUCAUCUGAGUCUUAUUUCAGUCUAAUUCCAUUUACUUUGGCGGUCUUUUAUACCAGAAUGAGUGUGAAGUGAACCAUGCCCUCUGUUUUUUAUCUCCAUGCCUAUAUCCAAAGUGCUACGGAUCAGCCAUCAGAAAGAGAGCCAGCAUCUUAAAACUACUCCUAAGCUGGAAACGAAACAUCUCAAGGCUGACAUGAAUGAAAACAGGAAUGAUAAGAAUCACAAGAGCUCUGGCAAAGAUGAAGAGGAUCCCUGAACAGUUCCUGUUGUCUGGCCUCUGUGCCUUUCAAGGCCUGUAAUGCAGAAUUGUGAUACUACUAAUUGUUAAAGAAAUGAGAGGUAAACAUUGGCAGAAGAGGAAUUGUAAUGUUCCUUCAACUGCAGUUUUAUUCAAUGUAAUUGAAUUACUGUACAAAACCAAAAUGAUAGUGUUAUUAGCCAGGUAAAUGAUUAAAGGCUGUAUUUAUGUAAUAAUGUUUAUAAGGCUUUAUCAUGACAUAAUUCAUUCAGCACAGCUAACCAUAAACACUAUUAGGAAACACUUUACUUUCUGAUUCACAUGCCCUGCAUCACCAUGAUAAAUGGAGACUCUGCCCAUCCAUAUAUAAUGAGUCCCUGCAGCAAAGGCCUUCAAGCAAUGAAAAUUUGAAACAUGGGGUGCCACUGUAUUAAAAAAUAUGAAAAACAAAAGGAGAAAAAGUAACCUAACCAGCUCUAGAAGAAUAUGUGGUUGUACUUUAUGGAUUUAUACUGGAGUAUUGCUUGGUUCAUGACCACACAUGGAUAUACUUCUUAAAGUGUACAAAGAUUUGUCCUGCAUUACCAGAUUAAUGGGCAAAUAAAGGCUGAACAUUUAUUUCCAGAAAAGUCAAUCAAAGGAGAGAAGAUGACAAACCUCGGUCUCUCCUGGAAGAUCCUGAUGCAUUAAGAAAUGAGAUGUGAGUUACGUGGAAAGCCCUCUGGCAAGGGAGAAGAGUAGAGACAUCCAUUCACUGGAUUGCUUAACCACUUUAGAAACUGAAAACUAAUUUCUAAGCUCGCUUCUAUCAUUGUAAACUCAAAGAAACUCCCCUGAUUUCAGUGGAGUUGUUACACACUUUUUAUCACUUUUACUGAUGUAUAACUUUGUCCUUGAACUCUCCAUUUGUCUAAAAGAUCAAUCUUUUCACUGAACUCUGAAUACUACUGUCCAAUUUUCAGUGCUGUCAGAGUUUUGAACAAGAUCAGUAUUUUAUCUCUUGAUGUUCCUUUUCAUAUUCCAGGCUAUCAGUUUCAGUAAUGUUCUUUGUGGAGGCCUUCAUAAACUGUCCUUACUCUAAAUACACUGAGCAGGUGUUACUUUUAUAUACUUGCAGAUGGUGAUGCAGCCAGAAAGGACAUUAAAGCAAAGCUGAAUAGUACUUCUGAUAACAUAAUGCUGAUUCCCCAGUCAGUGUACAGCUAUCAUCAGGAACUACAAAAUGGACAGAAUCCAAAUGGUGAACUGGACAUAGAUGGAGCAGUAGAGGUGAAUAGUAGAGGAAGCCUCACAUUUUACACACAAAUGUAAGACUUACCUUAAACAUGGGAAGGAAUACUUAUCAGAUACUUACACUUUCAAGAAAAAAGAUAGUCACAUACAAAUGGGUUUUUAAUUUUUGCUGAAUAGAACAUUGGGCUUCUUCUGUGUUAUUUCACUUUUAUGUUUUGCAUACAUUGUGUUCUAAUUGUUGUAUAAUCUUUGACAUGUUUUGAGAGAGACAGGAUAAGGUUUGACUUAAGAGGAAAAUGACUUCUUUGCUGCUUCAAUUCAUUGGCUGUCUGGCCAGCUCUGUUGGGCUUUGUUGACAUAUGGGGUGUGGGUGAAGCUUUGGCUUCCUGUUUGC
Long non-coding RNA from Tympanuchus pallidicinctus (lesser prairie-chicken), 5648 nucleotides. RefSeq lists it as uncharacterized. The record is from RefSeq and is a predicted model, not a curated record. The transcript is spliced from 3 exons. NCBI's taxonomy places the organism in Eukaryota, Metazoa, Chordata, Aves, Galliformes, Phasianidae.